CGCGGCCUAUCAGCUUGUUGGUGGGGUAAUGGCCUACCAAGGCGACGACGGGUAGCCGACCUGAGAGGGUGACCGGCCACACUGGGACUGAGACACGGCCCAGACUCCUACGGGAGGCAGCAGUGGGGAAUAUUGCACAAUGGGCGAAAGCCUGAUGCAGCGACGCCGCGUGAGGGAUGAAGGCCUUCGGGUUGUAAACCUCUUUCAGCAGGGAAGAAGCGCAAGUGACGGUACCUGCAGAAGAAGCACCGGCUAACUACGUGCCAGCAGCCGCGGUAAUACGUAGGGUGCAAGCGUUGUCCGGAUUUAUUGGGCGUAAAGAGCUCGUAGGCGGUUUGUCGCGUCUGCUGUGAAAACUCGGGGCUUAACCCCGGGCCUGCAGUGGGUACGGGCAGACUAGAGUGCGGUAGGGGAGACUGGAAUUCCUGGUGUAGCGGUGAAAUGCGCAGAUAUCAGGAGGAACACCGGUGGCGAAGGCGGGUCUCUGGGCCGUAACUGACGCUGAGGAGCGAAAGCAUGGGUAGCGAACAGGAUUAGAUACCCUGGUAGUCCAUGCCGUAAACGUUGGGCGCUAGGUGUGGGGCUCAUUCCACGAGUUCCGUGCCGCAGCAAACGCAUUAAGCGCCCCGCCUGGGGAGUACGG
RNAcentral lists this ribosomal RNA (643 nucleotides) under uncultured Actinomycetes bacterium. RNAcentral describes it as "bacterial SSU rRNA". It matches the Rfam family "Bacterial small subunit ribosomal RNA", at positions 232 to 885 of the family's 1533-position model. Lineage: Bacteria; Bacillati; Actinomycetota; Actinomycetes. The record is from RNAcentral.